GGUGGAAUUGCAAUUGGCCAGCCAAAGGGACCUAGCACUACUUUGUCUAAGAAUUUAUCAUGGAGAGGACCAGCAAAAGAGGUUGUGAAGAAACUACAUGCAUUAUCAUGAGGAAAUAUAUUAAAGGAAGAAAAACAAAAGAAGAAUAAAAUGAUCAAUAAAGCAGCUCAUCAAAGUUCCAAACUAGAGUCAGAAUUCUAAUUUGCAUUAAGC
Molecule: long non-coding RNA, 213 nt
Filed under: Vulpes vulpes (red fox)
Lineage: Eukaryota; Metazoa; Chordata; Mammalia; Carnivora; Canidae
Description: lncRNA (ENSVVUG00000011039.1)
Source: RNAcentral